GUAAUGAACAAAUCAUUUGAUUCAGGUGUGUGUAAGAUCUAAAACCUGCAGGACACCGGCCCUUGAGGCCUGCAGUUCCCCAUCCCUGCCCUAGACCUUUGUCCUCCCUGGCUGCCUUUGCACACGGUGUCUGCUUAAAAGUGCUUAAAUAAAGGCACCAUACCAAAAGACAAAAUUUACUGGCCAGCAGAGAUGGAACAAGCUCAGGCAGAAGAAUAAAAACCAAACCAAAUGAGUGUUUUGGAUUUCUCACUUUUGGUUUAUGUUAAAUAUUAAACAAUUUCACAUGAAAAUCUUAUUUGUUAAACCAUUUGAAGAGUUCUGAGGGAAAGUGUAAAACUGGUGAAAGAUUACCUGAAAUGUGGCUGAAAAUAACAAAGCUGAAUGUGUCACAACUCAAAAAGGUAGAGAUCUGAUAGUUUAUAUCAUGUUUUUCAUGGAUUUAAUCCAUUCUGGAUGUAACAUAACAGCUAACUGUACAAGUUGAGCAGAGCAGGGGAGUAAAAGCAUGCAGAGAUGAGGUGCAGGAGGGUUCGGGGCUGGUGUGCAUGGAAAACUCCCAAAGAGGAAGAAAUACUAAACACCAUCAGGUUUCUAUGGCUGGAGGCUCCCAGGUGGUCUGCAUUACCUGAUCCUCUUCUUUAGCCAAUCAAAGCUAGAGGACUUCCAAACUGUGAUGGAACAGACCUCGGUACCCGUUUGGAUCCAUCCUAUAAAUCAACUGUUCUGUUCCAUCCCACUCAGAUAAAGGAAAAACUUUCUGCACACUGAUUAAAUCAAUGAUUACUGUCUGUUCAAAGUAUCACAUCGAUGCAGGAGGUGGACACGGUGAUCUGCAUCUCUACACAAUACUUUAAAUAAAGCUGGAAAUAAUGUUGAUAUCCGUGAUUGUGUAAACAGAUUUUCUUGAGUUUCUUUGAUCUCCACGACGUGCUGCACCACCGAGCCACAGAAAAACAUUCCUGCCCAUUAAUCUCUCUGCACAACUCCAUCUCUAAAGCAACAACACACACUGCAAUAGUUGCACACUUUGCUAUAUGUUGUAUUAUCACUGUUUCCAAAAUCCUGGAGCGACUGUGACCACAGAAUUUCCUCAGGGAUUCGUGAAGUUUUCUCAUUUCCUUCUGAUUUUAACAGUUUUAGCUGCAAAGUCUGUGCACAAAAUAGCCGAGACUGAGACUGCACAACGCCAAAUCCGAGACCACUAAACCUGGGAAUGGGUUCUGCAGACGGGAAAACAACUUCCAAGUCGAAACAAACGGAUGUUUCUUGGUAGAAAAGGCGGUCACUUUAA
Long non-coding RNA from Oreochromis niloticus (Nile tilapia), 1294 nucleotides. RefSeq lists it as uncharacterized. Lineage: Eukaryota; Metazoa; Chordata; Actinopteri; Cichliformes; Cichlidae. The record is from RefSeq and is a predicted model, not a curated record. The transcript has 2 exons.